RNAcentral lists this long non-coding RNA (190 nucleotides) under Anser brachyrhynchus (Pink-footed goose). RNAcentral describes it as "lncRNA (ENSABRG00000019524.1)". Lineage: Eukaryota; Metazoa; Chordata; Aves; Anseriformes; Anatidae. The record is from RNAcentral.
UGUCCUGGGGGAUGUUCUCUGAGCUUUGCUCAGAUAAAGGCCUGGGGCAGCAUGAGCAUUUAGGAUGUUCAGCAGCUGUGGCUGGCCAAGUCAUAGAUGAUUUGAAAAUGCAGCCGUCUGAGAGACUCUGAGGGUGCUCCACUCUGGUUGUUGAAGAGACAGGCCAUUUCAGGACACCUCUGCAUCCUUC